Molecule: ribosomal RNA, 576 nt
Filed under: uncultured bacterium
Lineage: Bacteria
Description: bacterial SSU rRNA
Rfam family: Bacterial small subunit ribosomal RNA
Source: RNAcentral
UCGCCGAAAGGCGAGCUAAUACCGCAUAAGAUCCGCAAGGAUGAAAGCCGAAAGGCGUCGAAGGAGGGGCCUGCGCACGAUUAGCUAGUUGGUAGGGUAACGGCCUACCAAGGCAAUGAUCGUUAGCUGGUCUGAGAGGAUGGCCAGCCACACUGGAACUGAGACACGGUCCAGACUCCUACGGGAGGCAGCAGUGGGGAAUCUUGCACAAUGGGCGAAAGCCUGAUGCAGCGACGCCGCGUGGGGGAUGAAGCUUCUCGGAGUGUAAACCCCUUUCGACCCGGACGAAUGCCCCGCAAGGGGACUGACGGUACGGGUAUAAGAAGCCCCGGCUAACUACGUGCCAGCAGCCGCGGUAAGACGUAGGGGGCCAGCGUUGUUCGGAAUUACUGGGUGUAAAGGGUUCGUAGGCGGUGUGGCAAGUCGGGAGUGAAAUCUCUGGGCUCAACCCAGAGUCUGCUUCCGAAACUGCUGUGCUGGAGUGUGGGAGAGGCGCGUGGAAUUGCAGGUGUAGCGGUGAAAUGCGUAGAUAUCUGCAGGAACACCCGUGGCGAAAGCGGCGCGCUGGACCACUAC